Molecule: ribosomal RNA, 253 nt
Filed under: uncultured bacterium
Lineage: Bacteria
Description: partial 16S ribosomal RNA
Rfam family: Bacterial small subunit ribosomal RNA
Source: RNAcentral
UACGAAGGGUGCAAACGUUGCUCGGAAUCAUUGGGCGUAAAGCGCACGUAGGCGGCCUCGCAAGUUGGAUGUGAAAUCCCUCGGCUCAACCGAGGGCGUGCAUCCAAAACUGCUUGGCUUGAGUACUGAAGAGGAUCGCGGAAUUCCCGGUGUAGAGGUGAAAUUCGUAGAUAUCCGGAGGAACACCGGUGGCGAAGGCGGCUUCCUGGACCGACACUGACGCUGAGGCGCGAAAGCUAGGGGAGCAAACGGG